RNAcentral lists this ribosomal RNA (497 nucleotides) under uncultured bacterium. RNAcentral's name for it is "partial 16S ribosomal RNA". It matches the Rfam family "Bacterial small subunit ribosomal RNA", at positions 28 to 507 of the family's 1533-position model. The record is from RNAcentral.
GAUGAACGCUGGCGGCGUGCCUAAUACAUGCAAGUCGAGCGAACGGACGAGAAGCUUGCUUCUCUGAUGUUAGCGGCGGACGGGUGAGUAACACGUGGAUAACCUACCUAUAAGACUGGGAUAACUUCGGGAAACCGGAGCUAAUACCGGAUAAUAUUUUGAAACGCAUGGUUCAAAAGUGAAAGACGGUCUUGAUGUCACUUAUAGAUGGAUCCGCGCUGCAUUAGCUAGUUGGUAAGGUAACGGCUUACCAAGGCAACGAUGCAUAGCCGACCUGAGAGGGUGAUCGGCCACACUGGAACUGAGACACGGUCCAGACUCCUACGGGAGGCAGCAGUAGGGAAUCUUCCGCAAUGGGCGAAAGCCUGACGGAGCAACGCCGCGUGAGUGAUGAAGGUCUUCGGAUCGUAAAACUCUGUUAUUAGGGAAGAACAUAUGUGUAAGUAACUGUGCACAUCUUGACGGUACCUAAUCAGAAAGCCACGGCUAACUACGUG